This 475-nucleotide ribosomal RNA is filed under the name uncultured bacterium. Its description in RNAcentral is "bacterial SSU rRNA". It matches the Rfam family "Bacterial small subunit ribosomal RNA", at positions 335 to 801 of the family's 1533-position model. The record is from RNAcentral.
ACUCCUACGGGAGGCAGCAGUGAGGAAUUUUGCGCAAUGGGCGAAAGCCUGACGCAGCAACGCCGCGUGAGUGAUGAAGGCCUUCGGGUCGUAAAGCUCUGUCAAGUGGGAAGAACCUAUAUAAUGUUAAUACCGUUAUAUACUGACGGUACCACUGAAGGAAGCACCGGCUAACUCCGUGCCAGCAGCCGCGGUAAUACGGGGGGUGCAAGCGUUAUUCGGAAUCAUUGGGCGUAAAGAGCACGUAGGCGGCCUGGUAAGUCAGAUGUGAAAGCCCGGGGCUUAACCCCGGAAGUGCAUUUGAUACUGUCAGGCUUGAGUAUGGGAGAGGGAAGUGGAAUUCCUGGUGUAGAGGUGAAAUUCGUAGAUAUCAGGAGGAACACCGGUGGCGAAGGCGACUUCCUGGACCAAUACUGACGCUGAGGUGCGAAGGCGUGGGUAGCAAACAGGAUUAGAUACCCUGGUAGGCUCUGCU